RNAcentral lists this ribosomal RNA (445 nucleotides) under uncultured bacterium. Its description in RNAcentral is "bacterial SSU rRNA". It matches the Rfam family "Bacterial small subunit ribosomal RNA", at positions 338 to 795 of the family's 1533-position model. The record is from RNAcentral.
CCUACGGGUCGCAGCAGUGGGGAAUAUUGCGCAAUGGGCGGAAGCCUGACGCAGCGACGCCGCGUGGGGGAUGACGGCCUUCGGGUUGUAAACCUCUUUCAGCAGGGACGAAGCGGAAGUGACGGUACCUGCAGAAGAAGCACCGGCCAACUACGUGCCAGCAGCCGCGGUAAUACGUAGGGUGCAAGCGUUGUCCGGAAUUAUUGGGCGUAAAGAGCUCGUAGGCGGUUUGUUGCGUCGGCUGUGAAAUCCCGAGGCUCAACCUCGGGUCUGCAGUCGAUACGAGCAAACUAGAGUGUUGCAGGGGAGACUGGAAUUCCUGGUGUAGCGGUGAAAUGCGCAGAUAUCAUGAGGAACACCGGUGGCGAAGGCGGGUCUCUGGGUAACAACUGACGCUGAGGAGCGAAAGCGUGGGGAGCGAACAGGAUUAGAUACCCGCGUAGUC